RNAcentral lists this small nucleolar RNA (71 nucleotides) under Tursiops truncatus (common bottlenose dolphin). RNAcentral describes it as "Small nucleolar RNA SNORD112 (ENSTTRG00000024813.1)". The record is from RNAcentral. Lineage: Eukaryota; Metazoa; Chordata; Mammalia; Artiodactyla; Delphinidae.
UGAUCCAAUGAUGGUAGCACGUCAUGAACCACGAAUUCGGAUUAAUCUAAUUCCGUGCAUCUGAGGUCCUU